CAUCUAACCUGGCAUCAGGAAGAGGUUUUGCUCUUCAGGGUGAGGCCCAUUCAUUAUAUUCCAGAUGUGCUGAACCUUGCAAUGUUUCCAGAGGAAGGAAACUCAACUGCACGGUUUGGGGUAGUGGGGAACUUGUUCACACUCUCCCAU
Molecule: small nuclear RNA, 150 nt
Organism: Apteryx haastii (Great spotted kiwi)
Lineage: Eukaryota; Metazoa; Chordata; Aves; Apterygiformes; Apterygidae
Gene: U1
Rfam family: U1 spliceosomal RNA
About the family: U1 is a small nuclear RNA (snRNA) component of the spliceosome (involved in pre-mRNA splicing). Its 5' end forms complementary base pairs with the 5' splice junction, thus defining the 5' donor site of an intron.
Source: Ensembl